GAUGAAGAACGUAGCGAAAUGCGAUAAGUAGUGUGAAUUGCAGAAUUCAGUGAAUCAUCGAAUCUUUGAACGCACAUUGCGCCCCUUGGUAUCCCGAGGGGCAUGCCUGUUCGAGCGUCAUUUCACCACUCAAGCCUGGCUUGGUGUUGGGCGACGUCCCCUUUGUGGACGCGCCUCGAAACGCUCGGCGGCGUGGCACCGGCUUUAAGCGUAGCAGAAUCUUUCGCUUUGGAAGUCGGGGCCCCGUCUGCCGGAAGACCUACUCGCAAGGUUGACCUCGGAUCAGGCAGGGAUACCCGCUGAACUUAAGCAUAUCAAUAAGCGGAGGA
Molecule: unclassified non-coding RNA, 329 nt
Filed under: soil metagenome
Description: partial contains 5.8S ribosomal RNA, internal transcribed spacer 2, and large subunit ribosomal RNA
Rfam family: 5.8S ribosomal RNA (bases 1-120)
Source: RNAcentral